CGAACGCUGGCGGCGUGCCUAAUACAUGCAAGUCGAGCGAAUCGACGGGAGCUUGCUCCCUGAGAUUAGCGGCGGACGGGUGAGUAACACGUGGGCAACCUGCCUAUAAGACUGGGAUAACUUCGGGAAACCGGAGCUAAUACCGGAUACGUUCUUUUCUCGCAUGAGAGAAGAUGGAAAGACGGUUUACGCUGUCACUUAUAGAUGGGCCCGCGGCGCAUUAGCUAGUUGGUGAGGUAAUGGCUCACCAAGGCGACGAUGCGUAGCCGACCUGAGAGGGUGAUCGGCCACACUGGGACUGAGACACGGCCCAGACUCCUACGGGAGGCAGCAGUAGGGAAUCUUCCGCAAUGGACGAAAGUCUGACGGAGCAACGCCGCGUGAACGAAGAAGGCCUUCGGGUCGUAAAGUUCUGUUGUUAGGGAAGAACAAGUACCAGAGUAACUGCUGGUACCUUGACGGUACCUAACCAGAAAGCCACGGCUAACUACGUGCCAGCAGCCGCGGUAAUACGUAGGUGGCAAGCGUUGUCCGGAAUUAUUGGGCGUAAAGCGCGCGCAGGUGGUUCCUUAAGUCUGAUGUGAAAGCCCACGGCUCAACCGUGGAGGGUCAUUGGAAACUGGGGAACUUGAGUGCAGAAGAGGAAAGUGGAAUUCCAAGUGUAGCGGUGAAAUGCGUAGAGAUUUGGAGGAACACCAGUGGCGAAGGCGACUUUCUGGUCUGUAACUGACACUGAGGCGCGAAAGC
RNAcentral lists this ribosomal RNA (747 nucleotides) under Bacillus sp. 1003(2010). Its description in RNAcentral is "bacterial SSU rRNA". It matches the Rfam family "Bacterial small subunit ribosomal RNA", at positions 30 to 760 of the family's 1533-position model. The record is from RNAcentral. Lineage: Bacteria; Bacillati; Bacillota; Bacilli; Caryophanales; Bacillaceae.